Molecule: long non-coding RNA, 810 nt
Filed under: Bos taurus (domestic cattle)
Lineage: Eukaryota; Metazoa; Chordata; Mammalia; Artiodactyla; Bovidae
Description: long non-coding RNA NONBTAT020250
Source: RNAcentral
GUUUUAUUAAAUCAAUGUCUUCUGGGUUUCAGACAGAAAAACAUUAGGCUUUAGAGAAGACUUCAGAAGUAACAUAUGAGGAUAAUAACUCAUGAAUUUGGAUACUGUUGUCGUGGAUAGUCUGAGUUCUUCAGCUGUUAACAGGGCAAGAAGAGGAUAGAGAGCUAGACCAUGCCAGUGUGCUGGCAGUGGGCUUGAUGAUUUGAGCCACUGACUGUAAUAUAGACACAGUCAAGUUAAGAUCCACACAUGCACUAUUAACAAGGACGUGCUUCACCUUAUCUUGAGUAGGGAGAGAGGGCUAAGUAUAGUAAAAUCUUUAAAAAAAGAGAGAGAGAGCUAAUUUAACACCAGAGCAGUUAACAAAGCCAUACUGAUUUGGUUGUUGUCUGUUUCCAUCCAGUGUGUUUGUGUAGCUUUUAUCCAGCUUGAGAGAUGGAUAAUUGGUGGUUCUCUCUUGCAUGCUUUAAAGGACCUGAGCUUCAACAAGCUAGUGAUUUAUGAUACAACUGCCUAUCACUCUUGCCCCCAUUCAUUAUACAACCGCCAUUAUGCAAAGUGACUUGAGACAACCAAUAGAAAUAAAACUCUGUUUUAUAAAGUAGUCCACAGACUAUUAUUUCAAAAUAAGACAUAUAAAAAGAAAGUGUUAGGAAAUGUAUUGAAAGAAGAGGCUUUGUAAAUUCAUUAAACUUAAGACUUUGAAAGUUAUUGGGAUAACUGAAUUUUGAGAAAGUAGCAAGUUCAAAAGAAUACUGAUAAUUUUAUUGUAUGUAAUUUUUUAAGUGAAUAAAAAGAUUAUUAGAAUUC